RNAcentral lists this unclassified non-coding RNA (218 nucleotides) under soil metagenome. RNAcentral describes it as "partial contains 5.8S ribosomal RNA, internal transcribed spacer 2, and large subunit ribosomal RNA". The record is from RNAcentral.
AACAUCGCGCACCUGCGGGAACCUGCGGAAGGAUCAUUACAGAGUUGCAAGACUCCCUAAACCAUUGUGAACCUACCUUCUACCGUUGCUUCGGCGGGCGGGCCCAGCGCCCCCCCGGCCCCCCGCGGGCGCCCGCCGGAGGAUACCCAAACUCUUGACAUUAGUGGCCUCUCUGAGUAUUCUUUACUGAAUAAGUCAAAACUUUCAACAACGGAUCU